AGUGAGGAAUAUUGGUCAAUGGAGGCAACUCUGAACCAGCCAUGCCGCGUGAAGGAAGACGGCCCUAUGGGUUGUAAACUUCUUUUUUACAGGAAUAAUGGUCAUUACGUGUAAUGAUUUGAAGGUACUGUAUGAAUAAGGACCGGCUAACUCCGUGCCAGCAGCCGCGGUAAUACGGAGGGUCCAGGCGUUAUCCGGAUUUAUUAGGUUUAAAGGGUGCGCAGGCGGACUAGUAAGUCAGUGGUGAAAGUUUGCAGCUUAACUGUAAAAUUGCCAUUGAUACUGUUAGUCUUGAAUGUGGUAGAGGUAGGCGGAAUGUGUAGUGUAGCGGUGAAAUGCUUAGAUAUUACACAGAACACCAAUUGCGAAGGCAGCUUACUAUGCCAUGAUUGACGCUGAGGCACGAAAGCGUGGGGAGCGAA
This 422-nucleotide ribosomal RNA is filed under the name uncultured Bacteroidota bacterium. RNAcentral's name for it is "bacterial SSU rRNA". It matches the Rfam family "Bacterial small subunit ribosomal RNA", at positions 353 to 772 of the family's 1533-position model. The record is from RNAcentral. Lineage: Bacteria; Pseudomonadati; Bacteroidota.